Molecule: long non-coding RNA, 255 nt
Filed under: Brassica napus (rape)
Lineage: Eukaryota; Viridiplantae; Streptophyta; Magnoliopsida; Brassicales; Brassicaceae
Description: long non-coding RNA (BNAP_LNC027132)
Source: RNAcentral
GCCCUAACGAUGAGAAAUAUUAUAUGCAUGGUUACGGCACUCUGGACCGCUAUAUGAGAUCAAUGUUCUGGGUUUUGAAUCUUAGACCUACUAAUGUAAAAAUAUUAAUAAACAUUUAGUUAAACCACUAGACUAAAGGAGUUUCUACCUUUUUUCGAACAUUUAGAAACAUUAGUUCAGAUGUAUGUUAAAUGUUCUGCUUGAAAGAGCCACACCCACAUGGCAAGAAACAUUUGGCUUCUCUCUCUCACUCUC